UAAUACGUUCACUUAGCAUGUCUAAAAACGCAACGGUUUAGCGUAUACACGACUGAAGCUUAUGGAAUCGAUGGAAUCCAGCAACAAGUUCACCGGGGCGUGAAUGGCCACUCGAAGGAACACACAAAACACACGAACCGUAUCCCCAUCGAUGAGGUCACUGUCGCACAUAUGGAACAUCAUAAAUCAUUUAUCAGUCAAAAACAACGAAAUUAAUAAAACUCAAAUUAACUCCUGAAAUAUGGAGUCUUUUGAUACAAUGAAGAGUCGAUAACUACCCUAUUGGUCUACCUUGGAUGUACAACAUUAUAAUUGACCUGUUAAGUAAUUCUAAAGACAUAUGUUCACCAUAAUCUAUACUCGAUGAAGACCCUCCUUGGUAACUAUGAUAACGAAAGACAUAAGUCUGAUUGUAAUCUACUGCUCUUUGAUUCUCUCACUCACACAAGGUCGUGUUCUACAUAAGCACAAAGACAAGGCAAAGAAAACAUAUAGGAAACACAGUAAGAAUGUCCCAAGAUCUGCCUUGGUUGGAAUUCGCCCAGAUGACCUCAAAUCACACCCUGCUACGCCAAAAGAUGUUUCAGGUUUCAAAAAGAGUUUCGGACAAAGCAUUAACUUGCCGGAAAUCGAAGGUAUG
Long non-coding RNA from Exaiptasia diaphana, 640 nucleotides. RefSeq lists it as uncharacterized. NCBI's taxonomy places the organism in Eukaryota, Metazoa, Cnidaria, Anthozoa, Actiniaria, Aiptasiidae. The record is from RefSeq and is a predicted model, not a curated record. The transcript has 4 exons.